UCCUUGAUGGUCUAAUGGUUAUGAUUUCCGCUUGUCACGCGGGAGACCGGGGUUCGAUUCCCCGUCAGGGAG
This 72-nucleotide transfer RNA is filed under the name Trichophyton verrucosum HKI 0517. Its description in RNAcentral is "tRNA-Asp (GTC) (tRNA-Asp-GTC-2-1, tRNA-Asp-GTC-2-2)". It matches the Rfam family "tRNA". Rfam says of the family: Transfer RNA (tRNA) molecules are approximately 80 nucleotides in length. RNAcentral also lists the same sequence under 1 other name. Lineage: Eukaryota; Fungi; Ascomycota; Eurotiomycetes; Onygenales; Arthrodermataceae. The record is from RNAcentral.